This is a non-coding RNA of Drosophila melanogaster (fruit fly), 704 nucleotides long. The record is from Ensembl. Lineage: Eukaryota; Metazoa; Arthropoda; Insecta; Diptera; Drosophilidae.
ACACUUUUUGACAUUUUCGAGUCGAAACUAACAAACUAUAAAAUUCCAACUGAAUAUCUGUCAACGAAACGAAUGCAUGUCCACAAGGCGAUGAAAAUCAAUUUGCAAUGCAGCGUACCAGCAAAAAAGCCGAUGGCAAAAGGAAAAAUAUCCAGAGACACAUGCCAAGGCGCACAGCCUUUGCAUCUGAAUCUGAAUCUGCCUCUGCAUCUGCAUCUGCAUCUGCAUCUGAAUCUGAAUCGGAUGGAAUCAAGGAGCAGGAAUCAGCGAGCAGAAGGAAUGCCAAGCAAUGCAAAUAGCUCUAAAUGCAUUUGACGAUGCUGUGAUUUGAUUUCGAUAUCCACCCAUCCUCGCUGUGUGUGGAUGUGGGUGUCUAUGUAGACUUUCCAUUUCUGUUCGCGAGCGUAAGUUUUUGCUCCGGGUUUUCGCCAGUUUUCCCAAAGCCAACCUGAUUAUAAUUCGAACGCAUCGACUUCUGGCAUUGGCAAAAAUGUCAUUCGAAAGUUGGAAAACUCGAAUCUGCUGCCUGCCUGCCAGCAUCCGCUUCCGUUUAAUCAUUUUGCUCGCUGUUGUUAUGCCGUUGGCCUGAUUGCCGUCGUUCACUUAGCUGAUUGCAGUAGCUAUCAAAAAUUCGCUGCGACAACGUGUCGUAUGCGUGAUAUUAUGCCAGGUCGUGCUCAUUCGCACUUGUCUCACUAGCAUCU